AUGCCUGGACAAGUCUAGUUUCACAGUUUAAGUGAGUUGGUCCACCAUUUAUGUUCACGUGUGUGCGUCCAGAGAAACGCUUUGAAACGCAGGAGGCUUCACAAAUGAGAAGAGCUUGAAGACAAACCGCUUGUGAAGCGAGGGAUACGUCAGCUCCUUGCUGGAGAUGACUGGUGAUAAAACUGCCCUCUGGCUGUCACCACUGAAAGGACACCUGGAUUGGAUGCAAAGACUAUCCCUUACUCGGUUUUUCCAGUAUAGGAGCAGGGUCCAUCUUUGGGCAUCAUGAGGAUCUUUGGAUGGUGUGGCCCAGCAGUCCCUCAGCAGCAGCUCCAGGCCCUUGUUCUGAAGUUUGAGGACAAACACCUCCACAUACACGGGCUGGCCCAGCUCAGUGACCACUGGAGGCUCACGGGAGGAGAAGAAGGACCGGUAAGAG
Molecule: long non-coding RNA, 439 nt
Organism: Myripristis murdjan (pinecone soldierfish)
Lineage: Eukaryota; Metazoa; Chordata; Actinopteri; Holocentriformes; Holocentridae
Exons: 3
Source: RefSeq, a predicted model, not a curated record